This 461-nucleotide ribosomal RNA is filed under the name Ocellularia sp. 8 EK-2014. RNAcentral describes it as "eukaryotic LSU rRNA". It matches the Rfam family "Eukaryotic large subunit ribosomal RNA", at positions 149 to 627 of the family's 3401-position model. Lineage: Eukaryota; Fungi; Ascomycota; Lecanoromycetes; Ostropales; Graphidaceae. The record is from RNAcentral.
UUUGUAGAAGGUGCUUCGGGCGCGGUCACGGUCCAAGUCCCUUGGAACAGGGCGUCGCAGAGGGUGAGAAUCCCGUACGCGGCCGACGACCAAGCCUGGGUGAAGCCCUUUCGACGAGUCGAGUUGUUUGGGAAUGCAGCUCUAAAUGGGUGGUAAAUUUCAUCUAAAGCUAAAUACCUGCCAGAGACCGAUAGCGCACAAGUAGAGUGAUCGAAAGAUGAAAAGCACUUUGAAAAGAGAGUCAAAAAGUACGUGAAAUUGUUGAAAGGGAAGCGAUUGCUAUCAGACUCGUCUGCGGGUGUUCAGCCGCUGUACGCAGUGGUGCACUCUCCCGUUUCGGGCCAGCAUCGGUUCCGGCGACCGGAUAAAGGCUUCGGGAACGUAGCUCUCUUCGGGGAGUGUUAUAGCCCGGGGUGCAAUGCGGCCAGCUGGGACCGAGGACCGCGCAUUGCUAGGAUGCU